RNAcentral lists this long non-coding RNA (438 nucleotides) under Dromaius novaehollandiae (emu). RNAcentral describes it as "lncRNA (ENSDNVG00000010746.1)". Lineage: Eukaryota; Metazoa; Chordata; Aves; Casuariiformes; Dromaiidae. The record is from RNAcentral.
UAAAUUAGUGUAGCAGUAUGGCAUGCUGCUCUGUUUUCCUCCGUUACAGGCAGGAGAUAGCCUGCUACUUUGAUCUACUCAGUAAAACAGAAUGGAUUCCUUUUGUCUGUGAACAGCAGCUGAGUGAGAAGAAAGAGCAAAGGAACCUGAAGACUGCUUUAUGAUGGAUCAUGGUCUGCCAGUGAUCUCUGGAUAACAAGAUCUCAGUGUGAAGGACUUCUAUAAUGCAUGAGCCAACAAUGUAUGUUACUGGUAAGAAGAGAGCUUGUCACCGUAUCUAAUGUACACUGCUUAGAGAAUAAUUCCUGUUGUGGAAGAAAAAUAGGGAAAAGUGAUACAACUUUAACACAUACUCAUUCUAGAGACUACACAUCAGAGAGGUUCCCUCCGUGCACCAUCUGUUUCUCUGCAAUUGGGAAUGGUAGAAUAAUUUUCUGA